CCCUCAGUAACGGCGAGUGAAGCGGGAAUAGCCCAGCGUUGAACCGUCAGUCAACUGGCGGGCUGUGACGUUUGGUAAUGUGGCCUAUCCACGGCGUUAGCAUCGGCCCAAUUAUUCUGGAACGGAUAGCCAUCGAGGGUGAUAGCCCCGUCUAGGUCUGGUGCGCGUCGUGGUAAUCUCAUUACUUAGAGUCGGGUUGUUUGGGAAUGCAGCCCAAAGCGGGAGGUGAACUCCUUCUAAGGCUAAAUAUCAGGACGAAACCGAUAGCGAACAAGUACCGUGAGGGAAAGUUGAAAAGCACUUUGAAAAGAGAGUUAAACAGUACGUGAAACCGUUAAGAGGCAAACGGUGAAGUCGUCGAAAGUGCUCGGCACCACUCAACCUGUUGCUUGCGGUCCUGCGGACGUCGCGUAUCUUUGGAGUGCGUGUCUGUCGGUUCCGUGGGUGGCUGGUGCAUUUGGUGUCGGGCUAAGUCACGACCGAUUGCUCGAGAGUUCACAGUCUGGCUGCAAGUGAGGUUUACCUUAUUCGUCGGGCUUAAGCUUUUGGGUGAUCRAGGUAGUGGUGGGCCGGRCUCUAUUGGCGCGCGUGUAGUCGUGGUUGUGCGUUUCUGGAUGGCAGACUGCUUGCAGUGAGUUGUCCUGGGCGUGCUUCUCGCGGUUGCCUCGUGCAAACGGCCUGCCCUGUCAGUGGCCAUUGGACGUCCUUUACCGACCCGUCUUGAAACACGGACCAAGGAGUCUAACAUGUGUGCGAGUCCCAAGGGAUCGUAAACCCGCGGGCGAAAUGAAAGUGAACAGGUGGGAAGUCUUCUGACCGCACCGCCGUCCCGUCGUUGAUCCAUUGUGUGACUGGCGGAGAACGAGCAUAAAUGUUGGGACCCGAAAGAUGGUGAACUAUGCCUGAGCAGGAUGAAGCCAGGGGAAACUCUGGUGGAGGUCCGUAGCGAUUCUGACGUGCAAAUCGAUCGUCUGAUUUGGGUAUAGGGGCGA
This 992-nucleotide ribosomal RNA is filed under the name Claudrilus draco. RNAcentral's name for it is "partial 28S ribosomal RNA". It matches the Rfam family "Eukaryotic large subunit ribosomal RNA", at positions 77 to 926 of the family's 3401-position model. Lineage: Eukaryota; Metazoa; Annelida; Polychaeta; Protodrilidae. The record is from RNAcentral.